RNAcentral lists this long non-coding RNA (514 nucleotides) under Marmota monax (woodchuck). Lineage: Eukaryota; Metazoa; Chordata; Mammalia; Rodentia; Sciuridae. The record is from RNAcentral.
CAGCGGCUCAGGGGGCUGAGACAGGAGGAUCGCGAGUUCAAAGCCAGCCUCAGCAAUGGUGAGGCGCUAAGCAACUCAGUGAGAUCCUGUCUCUAAAUAAAAUACAAAAUAGGGCUGGGGAUGUGACUCAGUGGCCAAGUGCCCCCUGCGUUCAACCCCUGGUACAAAAAAAAAAAAAAAGAUGUGAGGGGAUACCUGGGAGCAAAACGGCUAGUAAGGAAAGACUCUUAGAUGUCAAGCAUACAGAUUAAACCCUACCGGUUUCCCUGAGGUCUUAUCCUUCACUUUUCAGCUCUCGACUCAUUCAUGGGAAAGUAAACUGCGUGAUUCGAACCCCAGCUCUGCCCCCUAAUACUUGAAACAAGUUAGUUAACUGCUGGGUGCUUUAAUUUUGGUAUUGGUAAAAUGAGGAUGUAUUAUUCAAGCGGGGUGACUGUGGAAGCUAAAGUAGGAGGAUCGCAAAUUCGAGGCCAGCCUCAGCAAUUUAGAGCAGCCCUAAGUAACUUAGUGAGAC